RNAcentral lists this ribosomal RNA (484 nucleotides) under uncultured bacterium. Its description in RNAcentral is "partial 16S ribosomal RNA". It matches the Rfam family "Bacterial small subunit ribosomal RNA", at positions 28 to 507 of the family's 1533-position model. The record is from RNAcentral.
AUUGAACGCUGGCGGCAUGCUUUACACAUGCAAGUCGAACGGCAGCGCGGGCUUCGGCCUGGCGGCGAGUGGCGAACGGGUGAGUAAUGCAUCGGAACGUGCCCAGUAGUGGGGGAUAGCCCGGCGAAAGCCGGAUUAAUACCGCAUACGACCUGAGGGUGAAAGCUGGGGACCGAAAGGCCUCGCGCUCUUGGAGCGGCCGAUGUCGGAUUAGCUAGUUGGUGGGGUAAAGGCUUACCAAGGCGACGAUCCGUAGCUGGUCUGAGAGGACGACCAGCCACACUGGGACUGAGACACGGCCCAGACUCCUACGGGAGGCAGCAGUGGGGAAUGUUGGGCAAUGGGGGCAACCCUGAUCCAGCCGUGCCGCGUGCGGGAAGGAGGCCUUCGGGUUGUAAACCGCUUUUGUUCGGGAAGAAAUCCUCUGGGCUAAUACCCCGGGGGGAUGACGGUACCGGAAGAAUAAGCACCGGCUAACUACGUG